Long non-coding RNA from Lynx canadensis (Canada lynx), 627 nucleotides. RefSeq lists it as uncharacterized. The transcript has 3 exons. NCBI's taxonomy places the organism in Eukaryota, Metazoa, Chordata, Mammalia, Carnivora, Felidae. The record is from RefSeq and is a predicted model, not a curated record.
AGAUUAAGGACCUUGGGAUAUCUCUGACAAUGGUGACAGAAAGCCAUCGUGCGAAUGUAACCAUCGCAGCAGAGGACUGACUGGAGAGCCAUCUGAAGAAGGCAGACUUAGCUCUCACCCCGGGUCAGGAUUAGGCUAGUGCCUAUCUUUCAUCAGAAUUUUCUCUAGAUUCCAAUCAUAAUCUUGUCAACACAACAAGAAAGGCCUUCAACAAUGAUGGGUUCUGACCUUUAAGAUACUUGAUCCCUAGAGGUGCAGAGCCCUGCCUUUGGUUACGAGGAGGCCAUGGGUAGCUACACCCACCCAGAUCAUUCGGUCCUCUUCAUGGCGGGCGGCCCCGUCCGGUCAGAUGCCACCAGAGCCAGCAUCACCCGAGAGUCAUUUGGGAUGCUGUGGUUCUAGAGACUGCCUCCAUCUUGAGCCAAGGAAGAAGCUGUUCCGGGGAGGACAUUGGAACCUUGGUGAGAGUUGGCCUUUCUGUGCCUCCAUCUGAAAGCUAAGCUCUUCUAUGGGAGUUUGGAUUGAAGGUUAGGGAUGAUGGCUCAGAGGGGGAAAGUGUGAAAUGGUAAUCGCUUUCAUAUGUCACUUGAGAAAUGUUAUAAUAAAGCUGAGUAAAUUGGAGCAUGA